This 1475-nucleotide ribosomal RNA is filed under the name Streptococcus suis. RNAcentral describes it as "bacterial SSU rRNA". It matches the Rfam family "Bacterial small subunit ribosomal RNA". Lineage: Bacteria; Bacillati; Bacillota; Bacilli; Lactobacillales; Streptococcaceae. The record is from RNAcentral.
GGCGGCGUGCCUAAUACAUGCAAGUAGAACGCUGAAGUCUGGUGCUUGCACUAGACGGAUGAGUUGCGAACGGGUGAGUAACGCGUAGGUAACCUGCCUCAUAGCGGGGGAUAACUAUUGGAAACGAUAGCUAAUACCGCAUAACAGUAUUUACCGCAUGGUAGAUAUUUGAAAGGAGCAAUUGCUUCACUAUGAGAUGGACCUGCGUUGUAUUAGCUAGUUGGUGAGGUAACGGCUCACCAAGGCUUCGAUACAUAGCCGACCUGAGAGGGUGAUCGGCCACACUGGGACUGAGACACGGCCCAGACUCCUACGGGAGGCAGCAGUAGGGAAUCUUCGGCAAUGGGGGCAACCCUGACCGAGCAACGCCGCGUGAGUGAAGAAGGUUUUCGGAUCGUAAAGCUCUGUUGUAAGAGAAGAACUGUGAGAAGAGUGGAAAGUUUCUCACUUGACGGUAUCUUACCAGAAAGGGACGGCUAACUACGUGCCAGCAGCCGCGGUAAUACGUAGGUCCCGAGCGUUGUCCGGAUUUAUUGGGCGUAAAGCGAGCGCAGGCGGUUUGAUAAGUCUGAAGUAAAAGGCUGUGGCUUAACCAUAGUACGCUUUGGAAACUGUCAAACUUGAGUGCAGAAGGGGAGAGUGGAAUUCCAUGUGUAGCGGUGAAAUGCGUAGAUAUAUGGAGGAACACCGGUGGCGAAAGCGGCUCUCUGGUCUGUAACUGACGCUGAGGCUCGAAAGCGUGGGGAGCGAACAGGAUUAGAUACCCUGGUAGUCCACGCCGUAAACGAUGAGUGCUAGGUGUUGGGUCCUUUCCGGGACUCAGUGCCGCAGCUAACGCAUUAAGCACUCCGCCUGGGGAGUACGACCGCAAGGUUGAAACUCAAAGGAAUUGACGGGGGCCCGCACAAGCGGUGGAGCAUGUGGUUUAAUUCGAAGCAACGCGAAGAACCUUACCAGGUCUUGACAUCCCGAUGACCGCCCUAGAGAUAGGGUUUCUCUUCGGAGCAUCGGUGACAGGUGGUGCAUGGUUGUCGUCAGCUCGUGUCGUGAGAUGUUGGGUUAAGUCCCGCAACGAGCGCAACCCCUAUUGUUAGUUGCCAUCAUUCAGUUGGGCACUCUAGCGAGACUGCCGGUAAUAAACCGGAGGAAGGUGGGGAUGACGUCAAAUCAUCAUGCCCCUUAUGACCUGGGCUACACACGUGCUACAAUGGCUGGUACAACGAGUCGCAAGUCGGUGACGGCAAGCUAAUCUCUUAAAGCCAGUCUCAGUUCGGAUUGUAGGCUGCAACUCGCCUACAUGAAGUCGGAAUCGCUAGUAAUCGCGGAUCAGCACGCCGCGGUGAAUACGUUCCCGGGCCUUGUACACACCGCCCGUCACACCACGAGAGUUUGUAACACCCGAAGUCGGUGAGGUAACCUUUUAGGAGCCAGCCGCCUAAGGUGGGAUAGAUGAUUGGGGUGAAGUCGUAACAAGG